This 73-nucleotide transfer RNA is filed under the name Spirochaetota bacterium. RNAcentral describes it as "Spirochaetes bacterium tRNA-Thr". It matches the Rfam family "tRNA". From Rfam's summary of the family: Transfer RNA (tRNA) molecules are approximately 80 nucleotides in length. Lineage: Bacteria; Pseudomonadati; Spirochaetota. The record is from RNAcentral.
GCCCUCUUAGCUCAGUCGGUAGAGCGCGGUCUUGGUAAGACCGAGGUCGGCGGUUCGAUCCCGCCAGUGGGCU